Molecule: transfer-messenger RNA, 240 nt
Filed under: Sphingomonas bacterium
Lineage: Bacteria; Pseudomonadati; Pseudomonadota; Alphaproteobacteria; Sphingomonadales; Sphingomonadaceae
Rfam family: Alphaproteobacteria transfer-messenger RNA
About the family: Bacterial tmRNA, also known as 10Sa RNA or SsrA, is named for its dual tRNA and mRNA-like properties. Its role is to liberate the mRNA from a stalled ribosome. To accomplish this part of the tmRNA is used as a reading frame that ends in a translation stop signal.
Source: RNAcentral
GCUGGCGGCUAUGUCGGUAGAGUAUUUGGUGGAAUAGGCAUUUCGGACCCGGGGGGCAGUACCCCGGCGCCUCCACCACCAGCGGCGGUCGAUUCCCGUGAAGGAAGCGCCGUUGCUGAUGGGGGCGAAACAGGAUCGACGAGUGCAAUAAAGGCCAGGUUGCCGAUCGGUAUGAGACCACCGCAAAGGCUCGUUCACACAAGUGCCAACGAUAAUCAGGCUCUUGCGAUUGCCGCGUAA